AAAUGGAAAUCAGCUGCAGGUGAGUUAGCUUGGGAGUCAGCAAAGCACGUACACUCCAGUACACAUGGGCGACAAGCUGGACCAUAGGUGGAGGAAUAAAUCUAGAAAGAUGUAGCAUAUUUUCUGUUAUGUGGUUUUCCUUUCUUAACAGUGUUGUUUAUAUAGAUUCUUUUUCCAGCCUGCUGUAUAGGUUUUCCAUUAGGCUGGUACUCUUCUCAUUCUAUAUAUAGUGUGAUCAACCUGUAAAGAAGUGAAUAUAGCAGAUUCAAUAUCAUGAGAAAAUUCUCCCAAAACUCUUGCACUCCGCCUGCUCGAUAGUUUUCUUCUUUCAUUUAUUUCUUCUUUUCUUAUAUGGUAUCAGAGGCAGGUAUGGCACAACUUGAUUCUGCUAAUCCAAAUCCAGUUGAAUCUUCAAACGCAAAUAUAAAUCAACACCCAAAUCCAAUCUCGGUUGAUCCCUCACAGCUAAACAGUCUAUACUAUAUUGGAGCUUUCAAGAGUUUGCUGAGAGUUUUGAGGGGAGCAAUUGUAGAGGAAAACGUUUUUUUGUAUAUGUGAAUUUGCUCAAGAAAUAUCUGUACAGAAUACCAAUAUAUAUACACACAAUUUCACACCUACAACUAACUAUUAUACACAUGCUACCAGCUAUCACAUGCUGCAUAACAGAAUAACAAAUAUUAGCUACAUGAUUCCUCUCUCGUUCCUUCUAGAAAAUCCUUGGCUUCCUGCUGAUGUGUCCCUUGUUGAGUGUAUUGAUGACUAAUGCAAUUUGCUAGCUCAGCUGCUUUGUUGUCUUCCAAUAGCCCCCUUCAAGAUGAAGAGUAUAUAUCCAUUACUCCCAUCUUGUCCAUACAGGAAUAAAAACUCUGAGAGUUCAAAGCCUUUGUGAGGAUGUCUGCUGUUUGUGAUCUGCUAGGUACAUGCUUUGUGAUGAUGCUUCCAUCUUGAAUUUUAUCUCGUAUUAAGUGACAAUCAAGCUCUAUAUGUUUAGUCCAUUCGUGAAAGACCGGAUUUGUGGCAAUGUGCACAGCAGACUUAUUAUCACAGUAUAAGAAAGCAGCUUGUGGAUGCGCUAUCUGCAAGUCUUCAAAUAAAUAUCGAAGCCAUGUCAAUUCACAACACAAAUUUGCCAUGGCUCUAUAUUCUGCCUCUGAUGAAGAUCUGGAAACAACAUGCUAUUUUUUUUGACUUCCAAGAUACUAACGAUUCACCAAUAAAAACACAAUACCCCGUAAUUGAUCGCCUAGUAUCAGGGCAUGAGCCCCAAUCAGAAUCACAAUAACCAUGUAGCUGCAUCUUUGAAUUUACUGGAUAAAAUAGCCCUUGGCUUGGAGCUCUUCUCACAUAUCUUAGAACCUUGUGUGCCAUGUGCAAAUCUGGUACUCGAGGGCUGCCCAUAAAUUAGCUUAACAGCUGCACUGAGUAUGCAAUGUCUGGUCUAGUUAUGGUCAAAUAUAGCAAUCUACCAAUCAAUCUCCUAUAGAGUGUUGGAUCAGGUAAAGUUCUCCCUCAUCUUUAGUUAUCUUCAGAUUUUGAUCCAAAGGGAUCCUUGCAGGUGAGGAACCAAUUGUUCCUGAGUCUCCUAAGAUGUCAAGGGCAUACUUCCUCUGACAAAUAUGAAUACCCUUUCCAGACCUGGCUACUUCUAUACCAAGGAAAUAUCUCAAUCUUCCAAGGUCUUUGAUUCUGAAUUUGUCAUGAAGUGAACCCUUUAGGUGGUUAAUUGUUUCAAUGCAAUCACCAGCCACUAUUAUGUCAUCAACAUAUACCAAGAUAGCAGUGAAGGAUCUCCCAGUUCUUCUAGUGAACAAACUAUAAUCUGCCUUGGACUGAACAUAUCCUAGCUCGAUAAUAAACUUGGAAAGCUUAGAGUACCAUUGGCGUGAUGCUUGUUUUAACCCAUACAAGCUUUUCUUGAGUAGGCACACUUUCUUGCUAUCAUCAUUCAAGUAUCCUGGGGGCGGUUCCAUAUAUACCUCUUCAUCUAACUCACCAUGUAAGAAAGCAUUGUUAACAUCAAAUUGGAAAAGAUUCCAUCCUUUUAUGGCAGCCAUAGCCAACAAAGUUCUGAUGGUGACAAGUUUGGCUACCGGUGAGAAGGUUUCAUGGUAAUCAAAGCCUUCUUGUUGUGUAUAACCUUUAGCUACCAAUCGUGCUUUAAGUCUUUCUAUGCUACCGUCAGCAUUGAACUUCAUCUUGUAUACCCAUUUGCACCCUAUUGCGUUCUUAUCAGGAGGUAAAUUAACUAAAACCCAAGUGUCAUUAUGUUCAAGAGCAUCAAUUUCUGCCUUCAUGGCUUCACACCAUUCUGGUAACUUUUUGGCUUCAUGGUAGCUUCUAGGUUCUGAUUGGGAAGUUACAGUAGUUAUAAAAGUUUUAAAUGGAGUUGAUAGUCUUUCAUAUGAAAUACUUGCACAAAGAGGAUAAUGCUUACCUGUGGAACUCUGUCCCUUUAAUUUGUCAAACUCCAGAGAUGGGUGAAGUAAGGCAGUCUGUUGGCAUAUGAAGUCCUGGAGGUAUGUUGGUGCCCUUUGAGCUCUAGUAGACCUACGGGGUAAAUGGCUAACAGAAGUCGUGUUUGAUGGCAAAUUAGAGUUAUUUUGGGAGUCAUCUGCAGACUUGGGUAGACACUCAUUAUGGUCAGAACUUUGUUGAUUUUCUUCCAAAAUUUGUGUGUUUUGAGACUCCAUUUCUGGUGAAUCAUGACUGACAUUUUUUUAUAGGUGUGACAACAACUGUCUCAUUGUGAAAGAUGGGAUUUUGAGUGAAAUUGACAUCGUUUAGGUCUGAUUCCAGUUGAGUAUUUCUGGUGGAAUUUUCAUUUUUGAAGGGAAAAAUGUUUUCAUAGAAGAUCACAUUUCUGGAGACAAAUGUCUUCUUGGUUUCAAUGUCCAACAGAUUAUAUCCUUUGAUUCCAAAAGGAUACCCUAUAAACACACAUCUCUUUGCUCUAGGGUCGAAUUUGUGUCUUCCAUUAACAAUGGUUGUAGCAAAUGCCAAACAACCAAAAACCUUGAGGUGUAGAUAGUUUGGUCUUUUAUUGAAGAGGAUUUCAUAAGGAGUCUUGUCAUUCAAUACGGAAGAUGGUGUCCUAUUUAUGAGAUAUACAACAGUUAGGAUGCAAUGGUUCCAAUAUUUUAGGGGAAUUCCACUUUGGAAUUUCAAAGCUCUAGCGGUGUUGAGGAUAUGUUGGUGUUUCCUCUCAACCAUGGCAUUUUGUUGUGGAGUCUCAACACAAGGUUUAUGGUGUAUGAUACCUCAUUUGAGAUAAAAGUCUCUCAUGUUGAAUUCACCCCCAUUAUCAGUUUGAAUUAUCUUAACUUUGGUCUCAAAUUGUGUUUCCACCAUACGACAAAAGCUUUGGAGGGCAGCAGUUGCAUCAGAUUUCAGUUUUAACAUAUAUGCCCAAGUACACCGACUAAAAUCAUCCACAAUUGUUAAGAAAUAUUUAGAACCAUCACUACCAACCUCAUUACAAGGCCCCCAUGUAUCACAGUGUAAUAAAUCAGAACAUUUUUCAGCUCUAUGAACACUUACAGGAAAAGGAGGUUUAUGCAAUUUUGCUAAUGGGCAUAUAGAACAGGGUGUGUCAUUGGAAGAUUUUGAAAAAUGAAUAUCACCAUCAAUGUCACGAGUAGUACACGAGGAAUGUCCUAGUCUAUAAUGCCAAAUGUCUAGGUUUUGAACAUUUUUAGUUAUAGAUGCUGAAACAUAAGUGGAUGGCAGUAUGUUUAAUUUAGUCAAGUGGUCUGAUAAAGUUGAGCAGGCCACCUCCUCUCGCCUCAUAUGGUAUAGUCCUUCCUUAACUUCACCCAUGCCAAUCGUUCUCCAAACUGAAAGGUCCUGGAUAUAACAACAAUGAGGGAAGAAAAUUAGGCAGCAAUGGAGCAUUUGUGAUAAUUUUUUGGUAGAGAUCAAAUUGUAGGAAAAAUUGGGCACACAAAGAACAUUUUGAAGAAUCAAAGUAUCUGUGAUUUUUACUGUUCCUAUGUGAGUAACAGGAACCUUGUUAACAUUUGGUAGGGUAACCAUGUAUGAAACUUCUGCAUGAAUGGAAGUGAAUAAUGAGGUCGAACAGAUCAUAUGAUCUGUCACCCCGGUGUCUAGAAUCCAAGGAACCUGUGAGAUGUCAAGUGAUUUUAGUUUAAAAGUAGACAUGCACAAAGACAUACCAGAAAGUUGGUGUAUAUUUUCAUCAGUGGGGGAAGAAGUGGCAACGCCCUGAACAUCAUUUACUGAGUAGUUUGGAUAUUGGGAGCUUGUGGCUGGUUUGAGAAGAGCCAUAAGGUGUGAAUAUUGCUCCUGACUUAAUGACACUUGAGGUUUGUCAUUCACCAUUUCCUGUGCAGUGGGCAACGAUGCAAUGGAUUGAUUAGCUGAUGGCCUAUUCUUCCCUUCAACUUUGUGACGUAGUUGGUACCCAUGUAGCUUGUAGCACUUAUCUGCACAAUGACCAGGAACUCGACAAUAGGAGCAAAUUGGUUUUCCUGGGUUAGCUUUGAAGCACUUCUCGACAGAAUGUCCUGCAAUUUUACAAAAGGUGCAAAAAUAACCCCUCCUCUGUGCAGGUAUGUUCUGUUUCCCUUUUUCUUUAUAAUUUCUUUUGGUGAUAAGAGCCAUAGACUCAGAUGCAGCCCCUUGUGCAAUGCCUUCAGUCGAUAUUUCCCUUCUUUUCUCUUCCUGUUGUAUGAUUGAAUAGACCUCAUUUAGACUUGGAAAGGGCUUAAUCAAUAGGAUUUGUGCUUUGAUUUCUCUAUAUGAAUCAUUCAAUCCCAUUAGGAACUUCAUCACCCAGUCCCUUUGCAGAUUUUGGACCACAGUUUUCAAUCCCCCAUAGCUGCAAUUAGGAAUGGCCUCGUAAUUCAUGAGUUCAUCCAACAGAGUCUUCAGCUUGGAAAAAUAAGUGCUUACAGGGUCUUGAUUUUGCAGCAACGUGGUUAUGGCCUGCUUAAUUUCGAAAAUUCGGGGCGCAUUCUGCUGUGCAAAACGCUGCUCCAGCUCAACCCAUAACUGGUGUGCUGUUUCCGCAUAAGUAGUGUUGCACUUUAUAUCAAUGGCCAUUGUGUUCUGCAUCUAGGUGAUCACAAUGUCGUUACAACGCAGCCAAUGUUCCAUCAGAGGGUCAUUGGGAUCUUCUGGCUCGCAUAUGCUUCCAUCGAUGAAUCCUAAUUUGUUCUUGAUACGUAAUGCCCUCUUCAUGGAUCGUGCCCAUGAGUGAUAGUUACUGGCAUCCAGUGUGUGGCUAACGAGCAGAACACCAGUGCUAUCAUUGCUUCCUAUGAAAUAUGGACUGUUUGGUUGAGUGGGAUCAUGAACAACAGUGUUUGGAUUUUGGUUUGAAUUUGAGUUCCCAGCAUUUGAAUCUUGGUUUUCAAGCUCUGAUACCAUUUCAAGAGUCGUAAAGUAGAAAAACUUUGUUGAGAAUUUUGAGGGGAGCAAUUGGAGAGGAAAACGUUUUUUUGUAUAUGUGAAUUUGCUCAAGAAAUAUCUGUACAGAAUACCAGUAUAUAUAUACACAAUUUCACACCUACAACUAACUAUUAUACACAUGCUAUCAGCUAUCACAUGCUGCAUAACAGAAUAACAAAUAUUAGCUACAUGAUUCCUCUCUCGUUCCUUCUAGAAAAUCCUUGGCUUCCUGCUGAUGUGUCCCUUGUUGAGUGUAUUGAUGACUAAUGCAAUUUGCUAGCUCAGCUGCUUUGUUGUCUUCCAAUAGAGCUAAUGAUAGCUCUGGAUCCAUACUCGUUACUCAUGUAUUGGAUUCAAACCAUUAUCAUUCCUGGGCACAUGCGAGCAAAGAGCACUCAGGAUUAAAAAUAAGCUCGAUUUUGUUGGUGGAAGCAUUUUAGAGCCUAGUGAUGCAAACAGUCCACUUAUGGAGCAUUGGUUGAGAUGUAAUGAUAUUGUAAUCACUUGGUUGCAGAAUACUAUGGCAGUUGAAAUAAAAUGCAGCACCAUGUAUGCUGAAACGACACAUUAUCUAUGGAAGGAACUUGAACAGAGAUUGGCACAGCAAAAUGCACCUAGGAUUUUUGAACUCAAACAAAGUAUUGCAAACCUGAUGCAAAACGAAGAUAGUGUAAAUGUGUAUUUCUCAAAGCUGAAAACUCUUUUGGAUGAAUUGCUAAAUUAUGAAUCAGUACCCAAUUAUUCUUGUGGAGGUUUGAAGGUUGUGGUGAAAAACCAACAAAGAGAUUAGGUUAUGAAAUUCCUAAGGGGUCUCAAUGAUACGUACAAUGGAUUAAAGGCUCAAAUUCCCCUCAUUAAGCCUUUCCUAAGGUUGAAUGAAGUAUACUCCAUAAUUCAGCAAGAAGAAAAGAGAAGGCAAAUAUCCACCGAUUGUUCACUUGAUAAAACUAUGGCACUACUUGCUAAAGGUAACCUUGAUGUGAGAACACAAAACCAAUCCUCCCAGAAGAAGGAUAGGUACUACUGCACCUAUUGUAAGAUAGCUGGGCAUUCCCUUAAACGAUGCUUCAAGGCUAAUCCAAACAAACCAGCAUGCUCUUAUUUCCAAAUGCCUGGUCAUACAGUUGGAAAAUGUUUUGAGUUACAUGGGUAUCCAUCGGGGCACAAAUCAGAAGGGAGAAACAAGCCAUCAACAUCAUUUGCUAAUCAGAUUACUGCACUUAUGCCUCUUGUCCAGGAACAGGUAAAUAACAAAGCUCAAAUCUCUUUAACUCGGGAGCAAUAUGAUCAGCUCAUGGCACUGCUAAAACCACAAACUCAUCAAUCCUUCAUCCCUUCUGCAAAUCACAUUCAAACUUUAUUCCAGCUCAUUCUGAUAAUGAUGAGAUGCCAAAAGUUUCAGGUAUAUCUCUAUGUCUAUAUGCCUUUAGCACUAAACUUCAUGAUCAUUCAGUUGUACCUUGGAUAUUAGACACAGGGGCCACAGAUCAUAUGAUCUGCUCAACCUCUCUCUUUAUCACAAUAAAGUCUAAAGUUUCAUUUUCAGUAGGUCUCCCAAAUGGUAAUGUUGUUCCUGUCACUCACAUUGGGACGGUAAAAUUUUCAAAAUCUUUCAUUUUGGAUAAUGUUCUUUGUGUUCCGUCGUUUUCUUUUAAUCUGAUAUCAGCUAGAAAAAUAACGAAGAACAUGAAUUGUUGCCUCAUUUUUCUUCCUGAUCGUUGUUUUAUACAGGACCUUUUGACUUGGAAAAUGACUGGAAUUGGUGAAGUAAAGCAAUGACUCUUAUCACUUGAUGCAAAACGAAGUGUCUCCUUUUGCCUUGACCAAGAAAUUAGCCUAUCUAACUCAAAAGACACCCAUAUCUGCUUCCUCUAUUUUCAAUAAUGGUGAAGAUUUCGAUCUUUGGCACUGUAGGUUAGGACACUCCACCUAUUCCAAGCUUAAUUUACCAGAAGACACCACAAGAUCCACCAAACAACCUUGCCUUAUUUGUCCUUUAGCCAAACUACAAAAAUUACCAUUUCCUGUCAGCCAGCAUAGAUCAGAAAAAUGUUUUGAUUGCAUAUAUUGUGACAUUUGGGGACCAUGUAAUGAGAUUAGUUAUGAUGGUUUUCGUUAUUUUCCAGCUAUUGUGGAUGAUUUUAGUAGAUAUACUUGGGUUUAUAUGUUGAAAUUAAAAUCUGAUGCUGGCAUUGUUUUGCAAAGUUUUUGCUCUAUGAUUGAAACAUAAUUUGAAUGCAAAGUUAAAACUAUUAGAUCAGACAAUGGAGAUGAAUUUGAGAUGAAGAAAUUUUAUUCACAAAAGGGAAUCAUUCACCAUAAAACUUGUGUAGAGACUCCUCAACAAUAUGCCAUAGUUGAAAGAAAACAUCAACACAUUUUAAAUGUGGUAAGAGCUUUAAAAUUUCAAAGUGGCAUCCCAUUAAGAUAUUGGAGUGAUUGUGUUCUCACGGAAGUUUAUCUUAUAAAUAGAACCCCUAUACCUCUUUUAGACCACAACACACCCUUUGAAAUUCUUUUUCAAACCAAACCAGAUUACACUUAUCUUAGAGUUUUCGGAUGCCUAACAUUUGCUACUACCCUAGUAAGUGGAAGACAUAAGUUUGAUCCUAGAGCUAGGAGAUGCAUAUUUUUGGGAUACCCAUUUGGAAUCAAAGGAUACAAAUUAAUGGAUUUGGAAACAAAGAAGGUCUUUAUCUCUAGGAAUGUUAUCUUUCCACGAGAGUGUGUUUCCUUGCAAGCAAAAUGCUAGCAUCGGUGCUGAUUUUAGUCCAAAUCCAACUUCAAAAACAGAUUUCAUUUAUGAAAUUCCUACUAUCUCAAAUCACAUAGAAAACAACCCAAAUCAUUCUCUUAUCAACACUUCAGGAAAAAUGCAGUAACAGAUCACUCAACAGACUUUGAAUCUUCUUCAUUAGAACAAAAUCAUGACUCAUUUGAACCUGCAAAUACAUUUAGAAUUGACAGUGAGCCAUCCCAAAAACAAGUUGUACCUCAAAGGUCAAACAGAAUCAAGAGAACCCCUACAUAUCUCAAGGAUUUUGUCUGCCAACAGGUCACUUUGCUUCCCCAUUCAUAGGCUUUGGACAGGCAAAGGGUCACCGUUCCCUCAGGUAAUCCCUAUCCUCUUGAGAAUAGUGUGUCAUAUGAUAAACUCUCCACUCCCUACAAGGCUUUUGUUGUUUCUAUCAGUACACACAAAGAACCAAUGAAAGCUGAAAUAAAUGCUCUCGAAUUAAAUGAUACUUGGCUAGUUGUUGAUCUGCCAUAGGGUGUAAGUGGGUUUAUAAAAUCAAAUUCAAUGCUAAUGGGACCAUAGAGAGAUAUAAAGCCAGGUCAGUGGCUAAGGGAUACACAUAGCAACAAGGACUCGACUAUCAUGAAACAUUUUCUCCUGUGGUAAAACUAGUUAAGGUAAGGACUUUGUUGGCUUUGGUUGCUGUUAAAGGUUGGCACUUAUACCAGUUUGAUGUAAACAAUGCAUUUCUACAUGGAGAUUUAAAGGAAGAAGUUUACAUGCAAUUGCCUCCAAGUUGUUCCACUGCUAAUGGGACAAAAGUUUGCAAAUUGAAGAAAAACUUGUAUGGCCUUAAACAAUCAUCUAGACAGUGGGAUUCUAAGCUAUCUAACUUCAUUAUUGAGAAAGGUUUUUCACAAUCUAAGGUUGCUUAUAGCUUAUUUACAAGAGCUACAAAACAUUCUUUUACUGCCAUCCUCGCAUAUGUCGACGACAUUAUAGUGUUAAGCAACUGCAUUGACUCUGUUAAUGUUCUCAAGGAUACCCUACAUGAGAAAUUCAAAAUCAAGGACAACUGAAAUACUUCCUUGGGAUUGAAGUGGCUAGGUUAGAUCGUGGCAUCCACAUAUGCCAAAGAAAGUAUGCCUUAGACAUCUUGACAAAUUCAGGCAAAAUUGGGGCAGCACCAACUCGAAUUUCGCUUGAUCAGAAUCUUAAGCUUUCUAAAGAGCAGGGUAAACUAAUUCCUAACCCAUUACUCUAUAGAAGGCUAGUUGGAAGAUUACUAUAUUUAACUAUAACAAGAUCGGAUCUAUCCUUUUCAAUGCAACUAUUAAGUUAAUUCAUGGAUAACCCUAGAUUACCAAACCUUAAUGAAGCCUGCAAGGUUUUAAGGUAUAUCAAAAAGGCAACAGGACAAGGUUUGUUCUAUUCUACUGAAUCAAGCCUGCAGCUUAUAGGUUACUCUGAUUCAGAUGGGGGAGCAUGCCAGGACACAAGAAGGUCGGUCAGUGGUUAUUGUGUGUUUAUUGGGUCUUCUUUUGUAGCUUGGAAGUCAAAGAAACAAGGGGUCGUGUCCAGAUCAUCUACAGAGGCAGAAUACCGAGCAAUGGCUAACCUGUACUGUGAAUUAACUUGGGUGAGAUAUUUACUUCAUGACUUGCAGAUUACACAUCCUCAGGCUGCCGCUAUGUUUUGUGAUAACAAGGCAGUACUUCACAUCGCAUCGAACCCUGUCUUUCAUGAAAGAACUAAACAUAUUGAGCUUGAUUGCCGUCUCAUCCAUGACAAGAUUCAAGAUGGAAGCAUAACCACCGAUUAUAUUGGUAGUGGACUACAAGUUGCAGACCUCCUAAAUAAGGCCUUAAGUUCUUCUGUUUUCUACUCUCAUUUGCUCAAGAUGGGAGUAGAAGAUAUCUACUCUCUACCUUGCGAGGGGCUAUUAGAAAAUAGAAAUCAGCUGCUGGUGAUUCAGGUUGGGAGUCAGCAAAGCACACACACUCCAGUACACAUGGGCAACAAGCUGGACCAUAGGUGGAAGAAUAAAUCUAGAAGGAUUUAGCAUCUUUUCUGUUAUGUGGUUUUCCUUUUGUAACAGAGUUGUUUAUAUAGAUUCUUUUUGCUCCCUGUUGUAUAGGUUUUCCGUUAGGCUGGC
Molecule: long non-coding RNA, 10301 nt
Filed under: Olea europaea (common olive)
Lineage: Eukaryota; Viridiplantae; Streptophyta; Magnoliopsida; Lamiales; Oleaceae
Description: long non-coding RNA (OEUR_LNC005336)
Source: RNAcentral